This 426-nucleotide ribosomal RNA is filed under the name Hymenobacter sp. R-41473. RNAcentral's name for it is "partial 16S ribosomal RNA". It matches the Rfam family "Bacterial small subunit ribosomal RNA", at positions 20 to 452 of the family's 1533-position model. Lineage: Bacteria; Pseudomonadati; Bacteroidota; Cytophagia; Cytophagales; Hymenobacteraceae. The record is from RNAcentral.
UGGCUCAGGAUGAACGCUAGCGGCAGGCCUAAUACAUGCAAGUCGAACGGUYYSUAGCAAUAGRRAUAGUGGCGCACGGGUGCGUAACGCGUAACCAACCUACCUGAAUYUGGGGGAUAGCCCGCCGAAAGGCGGAUUAAUACCGCAUAAAACYRCAGMWYGGCAUCAAGUAACAGUUAAAGAUUUAUUGGAUUCAGAUGGGGUUGCGUGCCAUUAGCUAGUUGGGGAGGUAACGGCUCACCAAGGCGACGAUGGCUAGGGGAGCUGAGAGGCUGGUCCCCCACACGGGCACUGAGAUACGGGCCCGACUCCUACGGGAGGCAGCAGUAGGGAAUAUUGGGCAAUGGACGAGAGUCUGACCCAGCCAUGCCGCGUGCAGGAUGAAGGCUUUCUGAGUCGUAAACUGCUUUUAUCAGGGAAGAAAAA